Molecule: non-coding RNA, 48 nt
Filed under: Trypanosoma brucei brucei
Lineage: Eukaryota; Euglenozoa; Kinetoplastea; Trypanosomatida; Trypanosomatidae
Source: RNAcentral
AAACCAAUCAACGAGUAAAUGAUGUAGAGUAUUAUUGUCAAUUAAAUU